Molecule: microRNA precursor, 275 nt
Filed under: Oryza sativa Japonica Group (Japanese rice)
Lineage: Eukaryota; Viridiplantae; Streptophyta; Magnoliopsida; Poales; Poaceae
Description: MIR821 microRNA precursor family
Rfam family: MIR821 microRNA precursor family
Source: Rfam by way of RNAcentral
GAUAUCAACUGAAAAAGUCAUCAACAACAAAGUUGAAUAACUCAUCAAGAUCUAAAACUUUUAUUUUGUUUAUUUCUUCAUACGACAAAGUGAUAGUAACAUUGUUUACAAAAUUGACAUAUCUCUUAUCUGGUUUUAUAAACUAUAACACAUAUAUGUAAAAUUUGUGAAUAAUAUUACUAACAUUUCGUCGGAUGAAGAAAUAACAAAAAUAAAAGUUUUAGAUCUUGAUGAGUUAUUCAACUUUGUUGUUGAUGACUUUUUCAAUUGAAAUC